RNAcentral lists this ribosomal RNA (469 nucleotides) under uncultured bacterium. RNAcentral's name for it is "bacterial SSU rRNA". It matches the Rfam family "Bacterial small subunit ribosomal RNA", at positions 28 to 507 of the family's 1533-position model. The record is from RNAcentral.
GAUGAACGCUGGCGGCGUGCCUAAUACAUGCAAGUCGAACGGGGUGAGAUCCUUCGGGAUUUCACUUAGUGGCGAACGGGUGAGUAACGCGUGAGGAACCUGCCUUUCAGUGGGGGACAACAGUUGGAAACGACUGCUAAUACCGCAUAACAUAAUCAAACCGCAUGAUUUGAUUAUCAAAGCUUUAUGUGCUGAAAGAUGGCCUCGCGUCUGAUUAGCUAGUUGGAGGGGUAACGGCCCACCAAGGCGACGAUCAGUAGCCGGUCUGAGAGGAUGAACGGCCACAUUGGGACUGAGAUACGGCCCAGACUCCUACGGGAGGCAGCAGUGGGGAAUAUUGGGCAAUGGGGGGAAACCCUGACCCAGCAACGCCGCGUGAAGGAAGAAGGGCUUUCGGGUUGGUAAACUUCUUUUACCAGGGACGAAGAACGUGACGGUACCUGGAGAAAAAGCAACGGCUAACUACGUG